UUUUUUUUUUUCUCUUUUUCUUUUCCCUUAUUUUUUUCUACUGGGGAGUUGGACUCCCUGCUCCUCAUUCACCCCUUCCAAUUCAAGAUACUCAAUGAUUUGACAAUUCCACCUCUUCCAGAAGCUGGAUUUUUUUGAAAAUAAGGAUGCUUUUCACUCCAGCACCAGGAUUAAAUCCCAGAAUGCCAGAAAUGGGUGGGGAACCACCAACCAGAGCAGCAGGCUCUGAGCAUCCCCUCUCCAACCCUGUGCCCCCAUGGAGAGCAUCUCAUCCCUGAGCUUGGACAGGCUCAGAUCCCUGCAGGAAGGGAUCCUCCCUCCUGGCACAGCCCUUGAUUUGAGCUUUUUCUCUCCCUGCUUUGCUCUGCUCCUGCUGGAGGCUCUUGGCUGUCCCGGCACAGAGGGAGGUGCUGCGGAGCUGUGCUGGGAACAGGUUUGGGAAAAGGUGAGCACUUCAUCACCCACAGCUGUGGUUCUGCGGUGGGACAACUGGAAACAAGACAUAAUGAAAGCCACUGACACAGUGCUCCAAGACUGGGAAGCUCAAAUCCAUCACAAAAGCAGUGGCAAAGACCAAGAACUGAAGAAAAGCAAUUUCUCACCUAAUUCAGGCAUCUUGAGAAGACUUUACCAGUAACCAGAGGUUUAUCUAUCUCCAUAAAAUCCCCUCCAGACAUUUGUGAGCUCCUGUCACUGCUGUCAUCCACCACAUCCAUGGUGCCCCUACCCAAAAUAACCAAAAUAACCUUUUUUUUCCCAUUCUACCCCUUUGAAUCUCAACCUGAGGCCUCCUAACUUUGGUAAACAUGUCACAAUAUUCUUCUCCUUUGUUUCUUUUUUUUCCUCUUUAUCCAAAGAGGGAGUAAAUCUCCCUUAAUUUUCUCCAGUUUGCAUGAGGUUUUGAGAUUUAUGGUUGCUAUUAAAUGUAACAAAGGCAACCUGGCAAAAGGUCCACCAAUCUGCAUGAUGGAGCUGUAACAACUGAGAACACAUUAUUAUUAUUUGGCUUUUAAUAUUAUAAUUUUAUUAACUUAGAGAACACGCUUUGAAAUCAUGCCAGGAAUUCACAUUAAAUCCCUAAAAUGAAUAAAAUGAGUGAGACAGAGACGUGGCUCUUAAGC
Molecule: long non-coding RNA, 1121 nt
Filed under: Junco hyemalis (dark-eyed junco)
Lineage: Eukaryota; Metazoa; Chordata; Aves; Passeriformes; Passerellidae
Description: lncRNA (ENSJHYG00000010449.1)
Source: RNAcentral